RNAcentral lists this ribosomal RNA (450 nucleotides) under uncultured bacterium. RNAcentral describes it as "partial 16S ribosomal RNA". It matches the Rfam family "Bacterial small subunit ribosomal RNA", at positions 354 to 796 of the family's 1533-position model. The record is from RNAcentral.
GUGGGGAAUAUUGGACAAUGGGCGAAAGCCUGAUCCAGCCAUGCCGCGUGUGUGAAGAAGGUCUUCGGAUUGUAAAGCACUUUAAGUUGGGAGGAAGGGCAGUAAGUUAAUACCUUGCUGUUUUGACGUUACCGACAGAAUAAGCACCGGCUAACUUCGUGCCAGCAGCCGCGGUAAUACGAAGGGUGCAGGCGUUAAUCGGAAUUACUGGGCGUAAAGCGCGCGUAGGUGGUUGUGUAAGUUGGAGGUGAAAUCCCCGGGCUCAACCUGGGAACUGGUUUCAAAACUGAUGAGCUAGAGUACGGUAGAGGGUGGUGGAAUUUCCUGUGUAGCGGUGAAAUGCGUAGAUAUAGGAAGGAACACCAGUGGCGAAGGCGACCACCUAGACUGAUACUGACACUGAGGUGCGAAAGCGUGGGGAGCAAACAGGAUUAGAAACCCGGGUAGUCC